UACGUAGGGUGCGAGCGUUAAUCGGAAUUACUGGGCGUAAAGCGUGCGCAGGCGGUGAGUUAAGUCUGCUGUGAAAGCCCCGGGCUCAACCUGGGAACUGCAGUGGAAACUGGCUCGCUGGAGUAUGGCAGAGGGGGGUGGAAUUCCGCGUGUAGCAGUGAAAUGCGUAUAGAUGCGGAGCAACGCCGAUGGCGAAGGCAGCACCCUGGGCCAAUACUGACGCUCAGGCACGAAAGCGUGGGGAGCAAACAGG
Molecule: ribosomal RNA, 253 nt
Filed under: uncultured bacterium
Lineage: Bacteria
Description: partial 16S ribosomal RNA
Rfam family: Bacterial small subunit ribosomal RNA
Source: RNAcentral